UUUGAUUUUUAGUUGAAAUUUAUAUUUAGCUGUAGAAUUUUGUGGGUGUUCUUCAAUGGAGUUAUCGUGUUCUUCUCCGCUUUCUGUCAACUCUACUAUCAGUUUCAAUCGAUAUGUUUCUGUGUACCCUCAUAGGAGAUGUCAAAGUGUUCUCUCCCUUUUUCCAUAUUAUCCUUCUUCUUCUUCUCAUGUUGCUACCACAGCUACUGCUUCUGCUCCUUGUAGUACUAGCAGUUCUAGUUCGACCCUUUUUGGGAUUUCCCUUUCUCAUCGACCCAGCAGUUCCGUUCAUCGUAAAAUCAAGCGUUCUAUGUAUAUUGUGUCGGGGGUGUUCGAGAGAUUUACUGAGAGAUCGAUUAAAGCUGUGAUGUUCUCCCAGAAGGAAGCAAAGGCUUUGGGUAAAGAUAUGGUGAGCACCCAACACCUUUUACUUGGUCUUAUCGCGGAGGAUCGGAGUCCUGGUGGGUUUCUUGGUUCUCGAAUAACUAUUGAUAAGGCCCGUGAAGCUGUUCGUAGCAUAUGGCUUGGUGACUCAGAGGACGAUACAACAAAAUUGGGUUCUCAGGACUCCAGUUCAGCUACCUCAGCUACUGAUGUGGCCUUUUCUUCAAGUACCAAGCGGGUUUUUGAGGCUGCGGUUGAGUAUUCAAGGACCAUGGGGUAUAAUUAUAUUGCUCCUGAGCAUAUUGCUAUUGGUUUGUUUACUGUUGAUGAUGGCAGCGCUGGUCGUGUGCUCAAGAGGUUAGGAGCAAAUGUAAAUCGUCUGGCAGCUGAGGCAGUUUCCAGGCUUCAAGGAGAGCUUGCUAAAGAUGGUAGAGACCCAAUUUCGUUCAAAAGAUCACGUGAGAAAUCCUUUCCUGGAAAAAUAACUAUUGACAGAUCUGCUGAGAAAGCAAAAGAGAAAAACGCUCUGGAGCAAUUUUGUGUAGAUCUUACUGCCCGUGCAAGUGAGGGCCUUAUAGACCCAGUAAUUGGUAGGGAGACUGAAGUUCAGAGAAUGAUCGAGAUACUCUGCCGUCGAACCAAAAACAAUCCUAUUCUGCUUGGUCAAGCUGGAGUUGGGAAAACAGCGAUAGCUGAAGGGCUUGCUAUAAACAUUGCUGAAGGAAAUAUUCCUGCGUUCUUAAUGAAAAAACGGGUAAUGUCUUUAGACAUUGGCCUAUUGAUUUCAGGUGCAAAGGAGAGGGGUGAACUAGAGGCGCGUGUGACUACAUUAAUUAAGGAGGUAAAAGAGUCAGGCCAUAUCAUUCUAUUCAUAGAUGAGGUCCACACCCUUGUUGGUGCUGGCACAGUUGGACGGGGAAAUAAGGGCUCUGGUCUUGACAUUGCUAAUUUGCUAAAACCAACACUUGGCCGUGGUGAACUGCAGUGUAUUGCAUCUACCACCAUGGAUGAGUUCAGAUUGCAUAUUGAGAAAGACAAGGCCUUUGCUCGAAGGUUCCAGCCCAUCUUGGUUAAUGAACCAAGUCAGGCGGAUGCUGUCCAGAUACUAUUGGGGUUGCGUGAAAAAUAUGAGUCGCAUCAUAAGUGUAGGUACAGUCUGGAAGCCAUCAAUGCUGCUGUGGAACUAUCAUCAAGAUAUAUACCGGAUAG
RNAcentral lists this unclassified non-coding RNA (1593 nucleotides) under Hevea brasiliensis (rubber tree). Lineage: Eukaryota; Viridiplantae; Streptophyta; Magnoliopsida; Malpighiales; Euphorbiaceae. The record is from RNAcentral.